AAGCGCUCUUUUGGGCGCGUUGCUGGACGAAUUUACCACCUAUCAGGUAGAUGGUAGUGUAGUGGACUACCAUGCCAGUGACGGGUAACGGGGGAUUGGGGUUCGAUUCCGGAGAGGGUGCCUGAGAAAUGGCAACCAUCGCUAUGGCGAGCAGCAGGCGCGCAAAUUGCCCAAUGCCGACUCGGUGAGGCAGCGACGAAAAAUAACAACUUCACCGCCUUAUGGCAUGAAGAUUGUAAUGAUUUGUAAACACACGUACUAAGAGUAUCCAUUGGAGGACAAGUCUGGUGCCAGCACCCGCGGUAAUACCAGCUCCAAGAGCGUAUAUUAAUGUUGCUGCGGUUAAAAAGCUCGUAGUUGGACGUAAGAGCCAAGGCUGUGGUUGGGUCCGUCGGCUGGAAGCUUCGGCCGAAGGCUGUCGUGAUCUGCCACAAUAUGCCGAGGCUCUUUCAUCUUGUGGGAGUGGUUGCUUGCCGAAGCCACCUUAACUGGUGUGUGGAAGCUCUUUCGGAGUCUCUCGCUCCAUAAGGCACGCCCACAGAUGUUACUGUGAGUAAAACAGAAUGUUCAAAGUAAUCGGCUUGCCGAUUGAAUGUCAAAGCAUGGAAUAACAAGGGAUCGACCACUGUGGCCUCUUUUUGUUGGUUUUCACGCCUCAGUGUGGUAACUCCGCGCAGGACUUCUCUUGGGCGUUCCUGGGUUCCUACUCAGGUCGUCCUUGUAGAGUCCUGUUGCAUUCGGGAUCAAUAGGAGCGCGGGGAGCAAUCAGUACUUCGGGGUGAGAGGUGAAAUUCAUAGACCCCCGAAAGACUAACAUCAGCGAAAGCCGUUUGCUAUCGCGCUUUCAUUAAUCAAGAACGAGAGAAAGGGGAUCGAAGAUGAUCAGAUACCGUCGUAGUCCUUUCCGUAAAUGAUGCAGACUUGGGAUCGGUCACUGUUCUUCUAGUGACAUGAUCGGCACCUCAUUCCCUGUCGAGAAAUCAAAGUCUUUGUGUUCCGGGGGGAGUAUAUUCGCAAGGCUGAAACUUAAAGGAAUUGACGGAGAACCACCACCAGACGUGGAGUGUGUGGCUUAAUUCGACCCAACACGGGAAAUCUUACCAGGCCAGGACAUGGUAAGGAUUGCCAGAUUGAAAGCUCUUGCAUGAUCCCAUGAAGGGUAGUGCAUGGCCGCUUCUGGUUGGUGGAGUGAUUUGUCUGCUUAAUUGCGUUAACGAACGAGAUCUCUGCCAAUAAAUAGAUGGCUGUUCCGCUUUAGGUUAUCUUUCGAGAAUUGGUUCUGCCAAGGCUCGUUGGGUGCUGAGGAGCAGUCUAUUACUUAUUGGGAUUAUGCAACCCUCAAUUGCAUUGAAACGAGAGCCAAAAGCAGGUCUGUGAUGCUCCUAUAUGUCCUGGGCCGCACGCGCACUACACUGACACAGAAAACGAGCAUUCCGCUUGCGGCCUGCGCCGAAGGGUGCGGGAAAUCUUUUAAACCUGUGUCGUGAUGGGGAUAGAUCAUUGAAAUUAUUGUCCUUGAACGAGGAAUGUCUUGUAGGCGCGUUUCAUCAGAACGCACCGAAUACGUCCCUGGUUCUUGUACACACCGCCCGUCGUUGCCUGUAAUGGCAUGUGAGUAGAACCGUUUGGAGGUUCCGGUGCUUGCAUCGGUCCAAAAUUCGGUAAUACUUGCAUGCUAGAAGAGGCAAAAGUCGUAACAAG
This 1701-nucleotide ribosomal RNA is filed under the name uncultured soil eukaryote. Its description in RNAcentral is "SSU rRNA". It matches the Rfam family "Eukaryotic small subunit ribosomal RNA", at positions 267 to 1798 of the family's 1831-position model. The record is from RNAcentral.